Xenia sp. Carnegie-2017 is the source of this 335-nucleotide long non-coding RNA. RefSeq lists it as uncharacterized. The transcript is spliced from 2 exons. Lineage: Eukaryota; Metazoa; Cnidaria; Anthozoa; Malacalcyonacea; Xeniidae. The record is from RefSeq and is a predicted model, not a curated record.
AAUCGAUGAAAGGAAAUGCAUUUUGGAUCACCCUGGCUUUAACGAAGUUUGCCUGAACGAAUUUGUUCUUCAAGUUAUGUGUCGCAGUUAUGUGACCGUUUUUCGAGAUGGUCAAAAUACCAGAGAGGAUAUCGUACAGACAACUCGUGCGUCUUCUAUGGGACUUUACAGGCAGCUCCAGACAUUUGCCACCGCCUUGUUGUUGUUACAACAAAAUACGGACGAUAUUUUUCUUCUUGAAAAUAGCACGAAUCUUCUUUCUUCAUGCAUGAUACAGACACUUCAUUUUGUAUUUCCUUUAAACCCUUAGUAUAAAUGUAUAUUAUAUAUUGAAA